This 497-nucleotide ribosomal RNA is filed under the name uncultured bacterium. Its description in RNAcentral is "partial 16S ribosomal RNA". It matches the Rfam family "Bacterial small subunit ribosomal RNA", at positions 28 to 507 of the family's 1533-position model. The record is from RNAcentral.
GAUGAACGCUGGCGGCGUGCCUAAUACAUGCAAGUCGAGCGAACAGACGAGGAGCUUGCUCCUCUGACGUUAGCGGCGGACGGGUGAGUAACACGUGGAUAACCUACCUAUAAGACUGGGAUAACUUCGGGAAACCGGAGCUAAUACCGGAUAACAUGUUGAACCGCAUGGUUCAACAGUGAAAGACGGUUUUGCUGUCACUUAUAGCUGGAUCCGCGUCGCAUUAGCUAGUUGGUAAGGUAACGGCUUACCAAGGCAACGAUGCGUAGCCGACCUGAGAGGGUGAUCGGCCACACUGGAACUGAGACACGGUCCAGACUCCUACGGGAGGCAGCAGUAGGGAAUCUUCCGCAAUGGGCGAAAGCCUGACGGAGAAACGCCGCGUGAGUGAAGAAGGUCUUCGGAUCGUAAAACUCUGUUAUUAGGGAAGAACAAAUGUGUAAGUAAAUAUGCACGUCUUGACGGUACCUAAUCAGAAAGCCACGGCUAACUACGUG